GAGGCUGUGGCGGGGCGGAGGUGCAAAAGCUCAUACUUACUUGGCGGGGGAGAUACCAUGAUCACGAAGGUGGUUUUCUCAGGGCGAGGCUUAUCCGUUAUGUUCCGGGUGUACUGACCCCUGCCAUUUUCCCCCAAUGUGAGGAACUCGACUGCAUAACUUGUGAUAGUAGGGGACUGCGUUCGCGCUUUCCCCUGGUGCUUCUGUGGUGCGAAUAGUAGACAAGUCUCGCUGUACCGUCCAGGCUGGAGAACUGGCGCGAUCUUCCCAUCUCAGGCUCCCGAGUAGGACAACCGCACGCCACCACACCCGGCUAGUUUUUUCUCUUUUUUUUUUUAUUUUCUUUUCUUUCUCUUUCCUUUCUUUUUCUUUUUUCGUAGCAGUUUCACCAUUCUGCUCAGGCUGGGCUCCACCUCCUGGGCUCAAGUGGUCCGCCCAGCCUUCUGAAGUGCUGGGAUUGCAGGUGCGAUCCAUCUUGCCCUGGCAGCUCCUGCUUUUCACCACAGCAUUCACGGGAGUUUGUAGGAUUUCUGUGCUGGGGAAACGUGUACUCAGUUAAUAGAGCCAGGUGGAAGUUGUACUCAGAACUGGUGGUUUUCUUUGGAAUGAAAACCGUGCAUGUUGGGGGCUCUUAGUGUCCCCGUUCGGUUGUAGGCAUAACACCCUUGCUUUGUGUAGGGGGAGGGCUUUGCCCGUGCCCUGGUGCCCCGGCGCAGGGCAUCGAGGCCUGCAGAUCAGAACCGCAGUCUAACCUAUGUCUUGGCGGAAUACCCUGCUAAGUCUCCCUGGAAUGUAAGAUGGGAGGUCUUGUGAGGAGGUUUCUACAAGUAAGAAAACAAAUUUCCAUUCGGUUUUUAUUGACAAAAUUGAAAAUUAUAAUAACUGAGUCCAGCCUCUCAGAUGACAAAUGUCUUUUGCACUGAGAGCUGGGAACCGCCGCUUGCCUCAGCUCCUGCGUGCAGGUGCAGCCCUCGCUUCCCUCCACACUUUCUCCAGCGGGUGUCAGU
RNAcentral lists this long non-coding RNA (1007 nucleotides) under Homo sapiens (human). RNAcentral describes it as "HSALNT0295231". The stretch from base 33 to 197 matches the Rfam family "U1 spliceosomal RNA". The record is from RNAcentral. Lineage: Eukaryota; Metazoa; Chordata; Mammalia; Primates; Hominidae.